ACGCUCGACACCUACGGGAGACAGCAGUGGGGAAUAUUGCACAAUGGGGGAAACCCUGAUGCAGCGACGCCGCGUGAGCGAAGAAGUAUUUCGGUAUGUAAAGCUCUAUCAGCAGGGAAGAAAAUGACGGUACCUGACUAAGAAGCCCCGGCUAACUACGUACCAGCAGCCGCGGUAAUCUGAGCGGGCUGGCAAGGC
Molecule: ribosomal RNA, 198 nt
Filed under: uncultured bacterium
Lineage: Bacteria
Description: partial 16S ribosomal RNA
Rfam family: Bacterial small subunit ribosomal RNA
Source: RNAcentral